RNAcentral lists this transfer RNA (72 nucleotides) under Capra hircus (goat). It matches the Rfam family "tRNA". From Rfam's summary of the family: Transfer RNA (tRNA) molecules are approximately 80 nucleotides in length. Their secondary structure includes four short double-helical elements and three loops (D, anti-codon, and T loops). The record is from Rfam by way of RNAcentral. Lineage: Eukaryota; Metazoa; Chordata; Mammalia; Artiodactyla; Bovidae. RNAcentral also lists the same sequence under 1 other name.
UCCCACAUAGCUCAGUAGGUAAAGCAUCUGCCUUCAACGCGGGAGACCUGGGUUCAAUUCCUGGAUCGGGAA